CCUACGGGAGGCAGCAGUGGGGAAUUUUGGACAAUGGGCGCAAGCCUGAUCCAGCAAUGCCGCGUGAGUGAAGAAGGCCUUCGGGUUGUAAAGCUCUUUUGUCAGGGAAGAAACGGUUGUUCCUAAUACGGAUGGCUAAUGACGGUACCUGAAGAAUAAGCACCGGCUAACUACGUGCCAGCAGCCGCGGUAAUACGUAGGGUGCAAGCGUUAAUCGGAAUUACUGGGCGUAAAGCGUGCGCAGGCGGUUAUAUAAGUCAGAUGUGAAAUCCCCGGGCUCAACCUGGGAACUGCAUUUGAGACUGUAUGGCUAGAGUGUGUCAGAGGGGGGUAGAAUUCCACGUGUAGCAGUGAAAUGCGUAGAUAUGUGGAGGAAUACCGAUGGCGAAGGCAGCCCCCUGGGAUAACACUGACGCUCAUGCACGAAAGCGUGGGGAGCAAACAGGAUUAGAUACCCUGGUAGUCCACGCCCUAAACGAUGUCUACUAGUUGUCGGGACUUAAUUGUCUUGGUAACGCAGCUAACGCGUGAAGUAGACCGCCUGGGGGGUACGUCGCAAGAUUAAACUCAAAGGAAUUGACGG
RNAcentral lists this ribosomal RNA (583 nucleotides) under uncultured bacterium. RNAcentral describes it as "bacterial SSU rRNA". It matches the Rfam family "Bacterial small subunit ribosomal RNA", at positions 338 to 916 of the family's 1533-position model. The record is from RNAcentral.